Molecule: ribosomal RNA, 252 nt
Filed under: uncultured bacterium
Lineage: Bacteria
Description: partial 16S ribosomal RNA
Rfam family: Bacterial small subunit ribosomal RNA
Source: RNAcentral
UACGGGGGGAGCAAGCGUUGUUCGGAUUUACUGGGCGUAAGGGCGCGUAGGCGGUCAGCACAAGUCAGUUGUGAAAUCUCCGGGCUUAACUCGGAAAGGUCAACUGAUACUGUGCGACUAGAGUGCAGAAGGGGCAACUGGAAUUCUCGGUGAGCGGGUGAAAAUGCGUAGAUAUCGAGAGGAACACCUGCGGCGAAGGCGGGUUGCUGGCUGACACUGACGCUGAUGCGCGAAAGCCAGGGAGCGAACGGG